GCGGUGGAGCAUGUGGUUUAAUUCGAUGCAACGCGAAGAACCUUACCUACUCUUGACAUCCAGAGAACUUUCCAGAGAUGGAUUGGUGCCUUCGGGAACUCUGAGACAGGUGCUGCAUGGCUGUCGUCAGCUCGUGUUGUGAAAUGUUGGGUUAAGUCCCGCAACGAGCGCAACCCUUAUCCUUUGUUGCCAGCGGUCCGGCCGGGAACUCAAAGGAGACUGCCAGUGAUAAACUGGAGGAAGGUGGGGAUGACGUCAAGUCAUCAUGGCCCUUACGAGUAGGGCUACACACGUGCUACAAUGGCGCAUACAAAGAGAAGCGAACUCGCGAGAGCAAGCGGACCUCAUAAAGUGCGUCGUAGUCCGGAUUGGAGUCUGCAACUCGACUCCAUGAAGUCGGAAUCGCUAGUAAUCGUAGAUCAGAAUGCUACGGUGAAUACGUUCCCGGGCCUUGUACACACCGCCCGUCACACCAUGGGAGUGGGUUGCAAAAGAAGUAGGUAGCUUAACCUUCGGGAGGGCGCUUACCACUUUGUGGUUCAUGACUGGGGUGAAGUCGUAACAAGGUAACCGUAAGCUUCACAAUCACUAGUGAAUUC
Molecule: ribosomal RNA, 599 nt
Filed under: Klebsiella aerogenes
Lineage: Bacteria; Pseudomonadati; Pseudomonadota; Gammaproteobacteria; Enterobacterales; Enterobacteriaceae
Description: bacterial SSU rRNA
Rfam family: Bacterial small subunit ribosomal RNA
Source: RNAcentral